RNAcentral lists this ribosomal RNA (240 nucleotides) under Triticum aestivum (bread wheat). RNAcentral describes it as "partial small subunit ribosomal RNA". Lineage: Eukaryota; Viridiplantae; Streptophyta; Magnoliopsida; Poales; Poaceae. The record is from RNAcentral.
AUGGCAAUAGUCCAUACCUACGGGAAGCCUGACAUCUUCUUGACCAUGACCUGCAACCCUAACUGGGAAGAGAUAACGAAUGAGUUGUUUCCUGGUCAGACAGCGCAAGACCGACCUGGUCUUGUGGCUCGUGUGUUCCAUGGCAAGCUAGAGGCUAUGAAAGAGAUGUUGUUCAAGAAGAAUAUCCUCGGUGUUGUUGUCGCACAUGUAUACGUAGUCGAGUUCCAGAAGAGGGGCCUC